AGGACUAGGGCUUUAGCUAGAGCAUUUCUAAAAAUUUGCAAAAGUGACUUUGAUAUUCAUAGAUUCCUUUUUGAUACUAUGAACUCUGCAGAUAUCGGUUUUGACAGUCAUGCCAUUUUGAUUACAGGUAUGGUUUAAGUCCUAGUAUCUUCCCUCCUUCAUUUUGGACUAAGGACCAUCUGAAGGGCAUUUUAAGGACUCCUUAAAAGCAACCUGUUGAGCAAGAGCACUUAGAACUUCUGAAGUUAUGUUGAAAUAUGACAAAUACCUCUUAGUACUCAAAGUUGAAAUCUAUCCUGAGACCCUGGAAGUCGAAUACUUCGGCACAAUGGAUUCCUCAAAUCUGGUAGCACAGCAGGAAGAAACAAGAGCUGUACCGGAAUUCUUUGGUGCUUCCUAGGGCUGGUGAAGCAGACAGGCUUCGUGACUUAGCUCGACCCCGGCUAGUACUGCUCCACUCCUCAUCAUCAUGACAUGCUGAGCAAUGAUAAGCAGAUUCUGAGCUCACAUCAGUUUUACUGGUACAUAGUUUUUCUCGAUUCAUCUCCAUACUGGAAGUGAAGGAGCUUCAGUUAGGGAAAAACUCAAUUC
Long non-coding RNA from Dromaius novaehollandiae (emu), 591 nucleotides. RefSeq lists it as uncharacterized. The record is from RefSeq and is a predicted model, not a curated record. Lineage: Eukaryota; Metazoa; Chordata; Aves; Casuariiformes; Dromaiidae. The transcript is spliced from 3 exons.